CUUCUGUUUGUGUUCUCUGGACAGUAAGGCAUGACUUGGACCUGAAACACUUCCCACAUUGGUUGCAUUCAUAAGGUCUCACUCCUGUGUGUGUUCUCUGGUGGACAGUAAGGUGUUCCUUCUUGGUGUAAGACUUUCCACAUCUGUUACAUUCAUAAGGUUUCUCUCCUGUGUGUGUUCUCUGGUGGACAAUAAGCUGUGUCUUCUGGGUGAAAGACUUUCCACACUUGUUACAUCCAUAAGGUUUCUCUCCUGUGUGUAUUCUCUGGUGGACAGUAAGCUGUAUCUUCUGGGUGAAAGACUUUCCACACUUGUUACAUUUAUAAGGUUUCUCUCCUGUGUGUGUUAUCUGAUG
Perognathus longimembris pacificus (Pacific pocket mouse) is the source of this 355-nucleotide long non-coding RNA. RefSeq lists it as uncharacterized. The record is from RefSeq and is a predicted model, not a curated record. The transcript is spliced from 3 exons. Lineage: Eukaryota; Metazoa; Chordata; Mammalia; Rodentia; Heteromyidae.